RNAcentral lists this ribosomal RNA (295 nucleotides) under uncultured bacterium. Its description in RNAcentral is "partial 16S ribosomal RNA". It matches the Rfam family "Bacterial small subunit ribosomal RNA", at positions 333 to 642 of the family's 1533-position model. The record is from RNAcentral.
GCUCUCCUACGGGACGCAGCAGUGGGGAAUAUUGGGCAAUGGGCGCAAGCCUGACCCAGCAAUGCCGCGUGAAGGAAGAAGGCCCUCGGGCUGUAAACUUCUUUUAUUCGGGACGAAACAAAUGACGGUACCGAAUGAAUAAGCCACGGCUAACUACGUGCCAGCAGCCGCGGUAAUACGUAGGUGGCAAGCGUUAUCCGGAUUUACUGGGUGUAAAGGGCGUGUAGGCGGGAGAGCAAGUCAGACGUGAAAUUCCAGGGCUCAACCCUGGAACUGCGUUUGAAACUGUUCUUCU